Pezoporus occidentalis (night parrot) is the source of this 458-nucleotide long non-coding RNA. RefSeq lists it as uncharacterized. Lineage: Eukaryota; Metazoa; Chordata; Aves; Psittaciformes; Psittacidae. The transcript is spliced from 3 exons. The record is from RefSeq and is a predicted model, not a curated record.
GUGAAAUGUACUGGAAGAGGCAGAGCUUCCCCUGCUGAAGUUCUCACCCAAAGUUGCCCACCAGAUGAUAUGAAACAUGAAUGGUUGUUCACUCUGCACAAAAAGAGAAACAAAAGCAUAUUCUGAAGGGAGGCUUUGUCACCCCACUCCUCUGCUGGGACCACAGGAGCUUCAGUAUUGCAUAAGCAACCUCUUCCACCUACAAAAGCAGCCCCUGCUUGCAACAGAGCAGAAGCUGGGAGGUAUCAAGCCUGAGAAUGCUCCAGCCAUGGCCUUUCAUCUGUGCCAUCUUGGUCCCUGGCUCACCCCUUCGUUGAUCUGAAGCAGUUAUGUGCUCAGUGGCUAAAGUGACACCUUGAAAUGCAGAGAAAGGAGAGGUAAAUGUAUUAUUUAGCUGUAGGAGCAGCUAUUUUUAAGGAGCAUAACAUGUAAAACCUUAAUAAAGAAAAGAUAUUUCA